RNAcentral lists this long non-coding RNA (1607 nucleotides) under Triticum aestivum (bread wheat). RNAcentral describes it as "long non-coding RNA (TAES_LNC018290)". Lineage: Eukaryota; Viridiplantae; Streptophyta; Magnoliopsida; Poales; Poaceae. The record is from RNAcentral.
CCCUUCCUCGUCUCCUGCCGCCGCCACCUCCUCUCCUUCCUCGUCUCCUUCCACGCCCCUCCUCUGGCUUUCGAUCUCCGCCACCGGGCCUCCUCCUCUCUCCCACGGGCCUUGGGUGUGGCUCCGCGCGAGGCGCUACAGAUGAGAGGCGCGGCGGGCAGCCUUCGGGGAGCACCUGCCGUCGAGCAUGCGUAGACGCUUAUCAUCGUCGGCGGGCCACGAGCUUCUCCGGCACCGCCGCCGCGGUCGCGCUACCUCCAUCGUCUAAGCGUAAGUCGGUCAUCUCUUGGCCCUUUGCCUCCCUUCUCUUCCCUUCUUUUCGUGAGGAAUUCUUCCGAAUAAGGCUGCUUCCCUUCUUUGGUUAGGAGUAUUGGAGGGAGGGCAUGGGCGUGAUUCCGGCGAGAUGUGGCUCGGAUAGAUGUCUGCGAUGCGGCAAUCAGAAAUCCUUUGGUUUGUCUUCCUCCUGAUUUGGCUUAAACCAUCCAGUAACAGGCCCACAAGUUCUGAGGCGUGAAGUUAAUGAUGCUGAAUUAGCUAACAAGAGAUGAGUUUGUGCACAUGUAUCUUCAGAAGUUUGAGUCAGUAGUAACUUAGUGUGGUGUAUUGCGACCUCAGACGCGACUCUUGUGGAUGUGGAUAUCACCUGAAGACUUGACUCGUAGAAAUCAUCUAAUAUGCCAACUAUGGCUUGGUGUUUCAUCUAUCUAAUAUGUAAAUUGUCAGCAUGAACUCUGAAAUACUUGGGUUAAUUCGGCAGUUUAAACUUUCUCAAUUGAUUAGAAUCCACCUCCCAUUUGACUUGGUGUGGACGUCAAAUUUCAGUUUGAGCCUUAAUCAGUAUCUGUUGUGGCAGUGGUGUGGUGUUCCCGAUUUCUGGGCCAGUGUAAUGAUUAUUGAAAUUAUAUUCCUGCAGUUACCUUCUCAGGAACUAGGCUUUGUCGCCUGUCAUGCUUCAAAGGCGUCAAGUGACAGUUAACAUAUGACAAUGUUAGUGCAAUAUGUCUAAAAUAAGUUAUAAUAUGAUAUUUACUUAUCUCUUCACCCUGCUAUGUUCCUUUCUUUCUUUCCUUUGUGUAAAGGUUUAUUACAUUAUGUAUUUUUUAAUUGUGUUGCCUCUCUCUCUCCAACAAUGAGCUCUUACCGCCAAAACCAGCUGAGUUCAUCAAUUUGCAUUCUUCGUCUGUAGGCCUUGUACAAAUUAAUGUCUACUUGAAAGGCUUUGUACAAAUCAAUGUCUACUUGAAGUCUCUCUCGCUGGUGCAUCUCUGUUUGGAGCACAAUCGAUUGGAAUGAGGAGCCAUAUAUGACAAUUUCAAGUUGUAUAUGGAGAACAAUCAAUUAGAAACCAUAUAUGAAGCCGUAUACUCCAUCAACUGUAUACCGCAAUGAGAAGCUGCUUAGAUGGGCUUAUACUUAAUUUGUAUGCAGCAUUUCACUUGCCACUGUAGUCGCUCUCUUGUUACUAGCAACCUUGGUCGCAUUGUAUUUCUUUUGUCCAUGUGCAUUUAACCAGUUGUCUUGGUCUACUGUGAAACCAACCUUUUAUUUAGUUUGUGCUUAUGGAUUGUGGAAGACUGUUAUGUUUGAUGUUUUUCUAUUGAAUUUCU